This 253-nucleotide ribosomal RNA is filed under the name uncultured bacterium. Its description in RNAcentral is "partial 16S ribosomal RNA". It matches the Rfam family "Bacterial small subunit ribosomal RNA", at positions 524 to 776 of the family's 1533-position model. The record is from RNAcentral.
UACGUAGGGGGCAAGCGUUGUCCGGAAUCAUUGGGCGUAAAGCGCGUGUAGGCGGCCUGAAAAGUCUGAUGUGAAAUCUCGGGGCUCAACCCCGAGCGGUCAUUGGAUACUGUCAGGCUUGAGUCCGGAAGAGGAGUGUGGAAUUCCUGGUGUAGCGGUGGAAUGCGCAGAUAUCAGGAGGAACACCAAUGGCGAAGGCAGCACUCUGGUACGUGACUGACGCUGAGACGCGAAAGCGUGGGGAGCAAACAGG